Fundulus heteroclitus (mummichog) is the source of this 409-nucleotide long non-coding RNA. RefSeq lists it as uncharacterized. The record is from RefSeq and is a predicted model, not a curated record. The transcript is spliced from 7 exons. NCBI's taxonomy places the organism in Eukaryota, Metazoa, Chordata, Actinopteri, Cyprinodontiformes, Fundulidae.
CAGUGACAUUCUGAACAAUACCUGUGGAUGUAUCAAUGCACUUCCUCCAAAUAACACUUACUGCCAGCCACUAUCAGAACUUGAUACCUGUCCAACAACACCGACUCCUAUAGGUUCAACACCUGAAGCCACAACUUUGACUGUCACUAAUGCGACAGAACUCUCUAUGACAACAUUUGUGACAAAUUCAACACCAGCUGCUACUAAUGCAACAACUCCUGUGGCAAUACGUGUUACAAAUUCAACCCAAGCUGCCACCAAUGCAACAACGACAGCUGUGACAAAUUCAACACCCGAGGCCACGACUUUGACUGUCACUAAUGCAACAGAACCAUCUAUAACAACAUUUAUGACAAAUUCAACCCAAGCUGCCACCAACGCAACAACAACGUCUGUGACGAUAGCUGUG